GGAAUUACUUUAUGUGUGUAGAUAGUUUACUUAGAGAAAGUCAACUAUUAGGACCAUGAUGGAAGGUAUAUUAUGUGUUUUCGUACUGCUUAUUUAACAAUGUAAUUCAAUAUUUUUGCAUUCAUUUACCACUGAAAAUGAUUUGCUGCUAUAUUUAUUUGAAACUAGUUGAUGCAUUAUACAAUUAUGCUAUUAAUCAAUAAUUCACUUUUGUCAAAUGUUUCUCUUUGCAUGUCAAGUUACAGCUGCUCCAAUAAAAGCUUUUUUUUUGCUGAACUAGUCAAGCUUCUCUUCUCGUGUCUUCACUAGUAGGUCAGUUUCUUUUGCUAGCUUUAUGCAUUUCUCAUUUCAAAUUUGGUUCAAUAUCUAACGAUUAUCAACGUUUUUUAUGUUGUUUCAAAAUAAGAGACACAUAACUUUGUUUUGGUUUUGGGAGAGUUACCUAUACAUAGGGAAGACAAAGAAUGUUCUAUUUGUAUCCCUCUUUUUUGCUUUUAAAUGCAUGACACCAGAUUUACCUAUAUUGCGGAGACUGAAUAUUUUUCUAUAAUUUCAUGCAUUUUGAACCAGUUCUUCAUAGGGGUGGCAGGGGUAGUACAAGCUUGUUCAUGCUAUGUUAAUAGUCCUUGUAGAAUGAGGUGAAGAGCACCUGUAACUAUUUUUCAGAUUGGUGAGUAAAUCAAUUAUAAAAUUAUGUAGAGAUAUUUUUUGAGUCACUGGUACCUAAUAAUUUUAUAGGACUUGUUUAAUUUUCCAUGUUCUGUUUGUAUGUUGAUUAAUUUUCUCAUUGGAUUCAUCUCUAACUGAAUAGUAACAAAAUUGAGGCCAUUUAGAUAUAGAAUAUUAAUUUUGACUUUUCUAGUCAUAUUUUCUUCUCUUUUCUAUGUCACUAUUCAGCUUUUCUACUGGUACCAUAGAAUUAGGAGUGCUGAUUGGAAAAGGUGGCUAUUUUGGAAAUGUAUUAAAACUACACCUCUCUUAUGUUUCAGCCAAGAAGAUGCAGGUUACAUAUAUCUCUAAUUCUCUCUCUUGUUAACAUUACAUAAAUAAAUAGUUCUAGUGAAUGUCUUGUAACUUUUUAAUUUUUUUGGGUGCAAAUUUCCUAGUGGAUGCUAUGCACUACACAUUAUCUAAAAUGUUAAGCUUAAAUUAGAUGCAAGUGUUGGUUGAACCUACAAUUAUCAAUGGCUUCUUUCUUUGCAGAUAUAUUAAUACCGGUCUUGGUUCAGGUUGGAAUUAGGUGGCUGCAAUUAUUUAAUUAUGGUAUUGGUGAGCUUAGAAAGUAAGGAUUUGUUGGGCUGUUGCUCGAGGACAAUAUUCAAGACUAUUAAAUGAAAUCAUAUUUAUAGUUAGUGAGAUUUAAGCAUUCUGGUUUCAUGAUAUGACAUUUGUGUAGUCUAUGUAAUUCCAUUUGUACUUUCUUAUCUGUUGUAUCAUUUCAUAUAGGUUGUAGUUUUUUUGUUAAGAGCGUUGGAUCUUGAUUUAGGUGUAGUUCUGCAUAUUGUCAAUGCUGAGCAACUAAUGGAAUAUUUUGUAAUUUUGGCACUUCAAAAUAUUUUGUGUGCUUUGUGGUUGUCUUUCCUUUUAAUGCAAGUGUUGUUUAUUCAAAACAAUAAAAUAGAUUAUUAUCUAUUUAGAC
This 1639-nucleotide long non-coding RNA is filed under the name Trifolium pratense (red clover). RNAcentral's name for it is "long non-coding RNA (TPRA_LNC007099)". The record is from RNAcentral. Lineage: Eukaryota; Viridiplantae; Streptophyta; Magnoliopsida; Fabales; Fabaceae.